AUGCAAGUGAAAAGAGAUGCAAGUAGAAUGAAGUAGCAACGAAACGAAACCCAACCAUUUCAUUUAUGACAACAGUUACAACAGCUCGUCAUUGUUCAAUAGAACCAUAGCUUCUAAAUGGAAACCUCUAAAACGCUUUGAAAGCUGAAAUCUGUGACUGGCUUUUAUAAACUUUGCUUACAAACUGAAACCUCUCAACAACGCUAUUAAAGCCGAAGCCUCUUGGUGGUGAAACCUCGCUGCAACGCUUUUAAAGCCGAAGCUUCUUGGCGGAAUUCGAACUUGGUUUCUAAAGCUAAACCCUUCAUUAAACUUAGCUAUGCCCCGACUCUCAGACUCUGAAACUGGACUCGGAUCCUACCGAACCCAAAGCAUAGUUUCUAGUUUCUAAAGUUGGACUCGAAGCAUGUUGUCACGUAUCGUAUUGUAUUAUGAUCGGUAAGUACCAAAAGUUAUAUUUUAUAUUCUCGCUUACAAAACAUAUCGGAAUGAAAAUGAGCCGAGCCGAGCCGAGCCAAGCAUAAACUCGUCUUAACUCGAGGGUAGUUAACAGUUCGUCUAAAAGUUCACAUCAGAAGUGACAAAACCGGACCAUCCCAAAAUUCCCAGGCAUAUAUAGUCGAAAUAAGUACUUACAUACAUCGGGUAAAAAGGGUAAUUUCAUUAUAAGUUGAAACGAGUCG
RNAcentral lists this long non-coding RNA (683 nucleotides) under Helianthus annuus (common sunflower). Its description in RNAcentral is "hypothetical non coding rna". The record is from RNAcentral. Lineage: Eukaryota; Viridiplantae; Streptophyta; Magnoliopsida; Asterales; Asteraceae.